Molecule: ribosomal RNA, 816 nt
Filed under: uncultured Actinomycetes bacterium
Lineage: Bacteria; Bacillati; Actinomycetota; Actinomycetes
Description: bacterial SSU rRNA
Rfam family: Bacterial small subunit ribosomal RNA
Source: RNAcentral
CAAGUCGAACGCGAAAGUCCCCCUCGGGGGGCAAGUAGAGUGGCGCACGGGUGAGUAACACGUAGGUAAUCUACCUUUGGAUUGGGAAUAACAACCGGAAACGGUUGCUAAUACCGAAUAAUGCAGCGGCACCUAAUGGUGACAGUUGUUAAAGCGGGGGAUCGCAAGACCUCGCGUCUGAAGAGGAGCCUGCGGCAGAUUAGCUAGUUGGUAAGGUAACGGCUUACCAAGGCUAUGAUCUGUAGCCGGCCUGAGAGGGCGGUCGGCCACACUGACACUGACAUACGGGUCAGACUCCUACGGGAGGCAGCAGUCGGGAAUUUUGGGCAAUGGGCGCAAGCCUGACCCAGCAACGCCGCGUGAAGGAUGAAAUCCUUCGGGAUGUAAACUUCGCAAGAACGGGAAGAAUAAGUAAGAGUUAAUAUCUCUUACGAUGACGGUACUGUUUGUAAGCUCCGGCUAACUCCGUGCCAGCAGCCGCGGUAAUACGGGGGGAGCAAGCGUUGUUCGGAUUUACUGGGCGUAAAGGGCGCGUAGGCGGCCACCGCAAGUCGACUGUGAAAUCUCCGGGCUUAACCCGGAAAGGUCAGCCGAUACUGCGGGGCUAGAGUGCAGAAGGGGCAACUGGAAUUCUCGGUGUAGCGGUGAAAUGCGUAGAUAUCGAGAGGAACACCUGCGGCGAAGGCGGGUUGCUGGGCUGACACUGACGCUGAGGCGCGAAAGCUAGGGGAGCGAACGGGAUUAGAUACCCCGGUAGUCCUAGCCUUAAACGAUGAAUGCUUGGUGUCUGGGGUUUUAUAGUCCCCGGGUGCCGUC